AAUUCAGCUAGCUCAUUUGGUAGAGCAGUAGACUCGUAAUCUACAGGUAGAAGGUUCGAUUCCUUCGCGAACUCC
This 75-nucleotide transfer RNA is filed under the name Thalassoglobus neptunius. Its description in RNAcentral is "Planctomycetes bacterium KOR42 tRNA-Thr". The stretch from base 7 to 68 matches the Rfam family "tRNA", at positions 6 to 65 of the family's 71-position model. Rfam says of the family: Transfer RNA (tRNA) molecules are approximately 80 nucleotides in length. Their secondary structure includes four short double-helical elements and three loops (D, anti-codon, and T loops). Further hydrogen bonds mediate the characteristic L-shaped molecular structure. tRNAs have two regions of fundamental functional importance: the anti-codon, which is responsible for specific mRNA codon recognition, and the 3' end, to which the tRNAs corresponding amino acid is attached (by aminoacyl-tRNA synthetases). tRNAs cope with the degeneracy of the genetic code in two manners: having more than one tRNA (with a specific anti-codon) for a particular amino acid; and 'wobble' base-pairing, i.e. permitting non-standard base-pairing at the 3rd anti-codon position. Lineage: Bacteria; Pseudomonadati; Planctomycetota; Planctomycetia; Planctomycetales; Planctomycetaceae. The record is from RNAcentral.